UUUCUUAUUACUUUUUCAUUUCCAGUAAAAACAUUCUAAAAUCUUGUACUAAUAUCACAAAUUGAUAAUACAAAUUAUUUCUAAUUUGAUAUAGCCUUAUUGGGGGUGACUGGUGACCAAGAAAAUGAGGAGAAGAACACAACAUUCCUUAACCUUCCUUAUAAAAAUUACUAUUUAUGAGGUAUAGAUGUUCCUCUUCGUUCCUUUUCAUUCUUUUUUUUUUGUAAAGAAUUAUAAUAUAAAAUUGUUCCUUGUUAAUUUUGAUAAAAAACCAUAAUUUCUCAUCAUUCCCAAAAUUUUAUUCCUAUUCAUUAUUUUCUUAUUCAUUCUUAAUGUUCUUGCGAUAGUUACCAGUCACACUCAUUAUUUUAAUUUCCAUUGAAAAAUAGUGAUUUAGUUUUGUUCUUACUUCGUGUCUUUAAUAUUUUUUGUUAAAGUUCAUACACUAUAUUACAAAUAAUGUUGUACUUAAUAAC
This 476-nucleotide long non-coding RNA is filed under the name Brassica rapa (field mustard). Its description in RNAcentral is "long non-coding RNA (BRAP_LNC001746)". The record is from RNAcentral. Lineage: Eukaryota; Viridiplantae; Streptophyta; Magnoliopsida; Brassicales; Brassicaceae.